CUGCUGCCUCCCGUAGGAGUCUGGUCCGUGUCUCAGUACCAGUGUGGGGGACCUUCCUCUCAGAACCCCUAGACAUCGUCGCCUUGGUGGGCCGUUGCCCCGCCAACUAGCUAAUGUCACGCAUGCCCAUCCGUUGCCGGAAUCGCUCCCUUUGGCCGCAGGGCCAUGCAGCCCCGCGGCGUUACGCGGUAUUAGACGGGAUUUCUCCCGAUUAUCCCCCCUGCAACGGGCAGGUCGCAUACGCGUUACUCACCCGUGCCG
Molecule: ribosomal RNA, 261 nt
Filed under: uncultured bacterium
Lineage: Bacteria
Description: partial 16S ribosomal RNA
Source: RNAcentral